RNAcentral lists this ribosomal RNA (861 nucleotides) under uncultured bacterium. Its description in RNAcentral is "bacterial SSU rRNA". It matches the Rfam family "Bacterial small subunit ribosomal RNA", at positions 8 to 916 of the family's 1533-position model. The record is from RNAcentral.
AGAGUUUGAUCCUGGCUCAGGAUGAACGCUGGCGGCGUGCUUAACACAUGCAAGUCGAACGAACCUUCGGGUUAGUGGCGGACGGGUGAGUAACGCGUGAGAAUCUGCCCUCAGGAGGGGGAUAACGGCUGGAAACGGCCGCUAAUACCCCAUAUGCCGAGAGGUGAAAUGAGUUUCGCCUGAGGAUGAGCUCGCGUCUGAUUAGCUAGUUGGUGGGGUAAGAGCCUACCAAGGCAUCGAUCAGUAGCUGGUCUGAGAGGAUGAGCAGUCACACUGGGACUGAGACACGGCCCAGACUCCUACGGGAGGCAGCAGUGGGGAAUUUUCCGCAAUGGGCGAAAGCCUGACGGAGCAAGACCGCGUGAGGGAGGAAGGCCCUAGGGUUGUAAACCUCUUUUCUCUGGGAAGAAGAAUGACGGUACCAGAGGAAUAAGCCUCGGCUAACUCCGUGCCAGCAGCCGCGGUAAUACGGAGGAGGCAAGCGUUAUCCGGAAUGAUUGGGCGUAAAGAGUUCGUAGGUGGUAAUGAAAGUUUGCCGUUAAAGACUAAGGCUUAACCUUAGGAGAGCGGUGAAAACUACAUAACUAGAGUAUGGAAGGGGCAGAGGGAAUUCCUGGUGUAGCGGUGAAAUGCGUAGAGAUCAGGAGGAACACCAAUGGCGAAGGCAGGUCUCUGGGCCAUAACUGACACUGAGGAGCGAAAGCGCGGGGAGCGAACAGGAUUAGAUACCCUGGUAGUCCGCGCCGUAAACGAUGGGCACUAGCUGUGAGAGCCUUCCACGGUUCUCGCGACGCAGCAAACGCAUUAAGUAUCCCGCCUGGGGAGUACGCUCGCAAGAGUGAAACUCAAAGGAAUUGACGG